Molecule: ribosomal RNA, 467 nt
Filed under: uncultured bacterium
Lineage: Bacteria
Description: partial 16S ribosomal RNA
Rfam family: Bacterial small subunit ribosomal RNA
Source: RNAcentral
GACGAACGCUGGCGGCGUGCUUAACACAUGCAAGUCGAACGGAAAGGCUCCAGCUUGCUGGCGUACUCGAGUGGCGAACGGGUGAGUAACACGUGGGUAAUCUGCCCUGCACUCUGGGAUAAGCCUGGGAAACUGGGUCUAAUACUGGAUAUGACCUUUCUCCUUAUGGGGUUUGGUGGAAAGUUUUUCGGUGUAGGAUGAGCCCGCGGCCUAUCAGCUUGUUGGUGGGGUGAUGGCCUACCAAGGCGACGACGGGUAGCCGGCCUGAGAGGGUGAUCGGCUACAUUGGGACUGAGAUACGGCCCAGACUCCUACGGGAGGCAGCAGUGGGGAAUAUUGCACAAUGGGCGGAAGCCUGAUGCAGCGACGCCGCGUGAGGGAUGACGGCCUUCGGGUUGUAAACCUCUUUCAGCAGGGACGAAGCGUAAGUGACGGUACCUGCAGAAGAAGCACCGGCUAACUAUGUG